CGGUGUUCAACUGGCGUGUCCGCGGGACGUCCUGCCGGUGGGCUUAGCCCGCAAGGGCGGCCCAACUUCAAAUCCCAUCGCGGUGCUCUUCACUGAGUGUCGAGGUGGGCCGGCACGUUUACUUUGAACAAAUUAGAGUGCUUAAAGCAGGCUAAAACUUCGCCUGAAUACUGUGUGCAUGGAAUAAUGGAAUAGGACCUCGGUUCUAUUGUGUUGGUUUUCGGAACCCCGAGGUAAUGAUUAAUAGAAACGGAUGGGGGCAUUCGUAUUGCGACGUUAGAGGUGAAAUUCUUGGAUCGUCGCAAGACGGACAGAAGCGAAAGCAUUUGCCAAAAACGCUUUCAUUGAUCAAGAACGAAAGUUAGAGGUUCGAAGGCGAUCAGAUACCGCCCUAGUUCUAACCAUAAACGAUGCCAGCUAGCGAUCCGUCGACGUUCCUCCGAUGACUCGACGGGGCAGCUUCCGGGAAACCAAAGCUUUUGGGUUCCGGGGGAAGUAUGGUUGCAAAGCUGAAACUUAAAGGAAUUGACGGAAGGGCACCACCAGGAGUGGAGCCUGCGGCUUAAUUUGACUCAACACGGGAAACCUCACCAGGCCCGGACACCGGAAGGAUUGACAGAUUGAGAGCUCUUUCUUGAUUCGGUGGGGUGGGUGGUGCAUGGCCGUUUUUAGUUGGUGGAGCGAUUUAUCUGGUUAAUUCUGAUAACGAACGAGACUCUAGCCUGUUAACUAGGCGUAUUUUCGACAUCUCAAAGGUCCGUCGUCCCGGCCCUCGGGUCGUGGGCGUGCGCGAUUUUUACUGUCGGCGUACUAUCAAUUCUUUUUAGAGGGACAGGUGG
This 839-nucleotide ribosomal RNA is filed under the name uncultured eukaryote. RNAcentral's name for it is "SSU rRNA". It matches the Rfam family "Eukaryotic small subunit ribosomal RNA", at positions 636 to 1426 of the family's 1831-position model. The record is from RNAcentral.